RNAcentral lists this ribosomal RNA (864 nucleotides) under uncultured bacterium. Its description in RNAcentral is "bacterial SSU rRNA". It matches the Rfam family "Bacterial small subunit ribosomal RNA", at positions 58 to 916 of the family's 1533-position model. The record is from RNAcentral.
CAAGUCGAACGAUGGACCUUAGCUUGCUAGGGGGAUUAGUGGCGAACGGGUGAGUAAUAUAUCGGAACGUACCUUGUAAUGGGGGAUAACUAGUCGAAAGAUUAGCUAAUACCGCAUACGCCCUGAGGGGGAAAGUAGGGGAUCUUCGGACCUUACGUUAUAAGAGCGGCCGAUAUCUGAUUAGCUAGUUGGUGGGGUAAUGGCCUACCAAGGCGACGAUCAGUAGCUGGUCUGAGAGGACGACCAGCCACACUGGAACUGAGACACGGUCCAGACUCCUACGGGAGGCAGCAGUGGGGAAUUUUGGACAAUGGGCGAAAGCCUGAUCCAGCCAUUCCGCGUGAGUGAAGAAGGCCUUCGGGUUGUAAAGCUCUUUCGCAAGGGAAGAAAACUUACAUUCUAAUAAAGUGUGAGGCUGACGGUACCUUGAUAAGAAGCACCGGCUAACUACGUGCCAGCAGCCGCGGUAAUACGUAGGGUGCGAGCGUUAAUCGGAAUUACUGGGCGUAAAGCGUGCGCAGGCGGUUUUGUAAGUCAGAUGUGAAAUCCCCGAGCUCAACUUGGGAACUGCGUUUGAAACUACAAGACUAGAAUAUGUCAGAGGGGGGUAGAAUUCCACGUGUAGCAGUGAAAUGCGUAGAGAUGUGGAGGAAUACCAAUGGCGAAGGCAGCCCCCUGGGAUAAUAUUGACGCUCAUGCACGAAAGCGUGGGGAGCAAACAGGAUUAGAUACCCUGGUAGUCCACGCCCUAAACGAUGUCUACUAGUUGUUGGUGGAGUAAAAUCCAUGAGUAACGCAGCUAACGCGUGAAGUAGACCGCCUGGGGAGUACGGUCGCAAGGUUAAAACUCAAAGGAAUUGACGG